UGCAGUCGAACGCGUCUCCGUUGAUGAUUUCAGGUGCUUGCACCUGAAAGAUUUAACAUUGAGACGAGUGGCGAACUGGUGAGUAACACGUGGGUAACCUGCCCUUGAAGUAGGGGAUAACACUUGGAAACAGGUGCUAAUACCGUAUAACAACCAAAACCACCUGGUUUUGGUUUAAAAGACGGCUUCGGCUGUCACUUUAGGAUGGACCCGCGGCGUAUUAGCUUGUUGGUAAGGUAACGGCUUACCAAGGCGAUGAUACGUAGCCGACCUGAGAGGGUAAUCGGCCACAUUGGGACUGAGACACGGCCCAAACUCCUACGGGAGGCAGCAGUAGGGAAUCUUCCACAAUGGACGAAAGUCUGAUGGAGCAACGCCGCGUGAGUGAUGAAGGGUUUCGGCUCGUAAAACUCUGUUGUUGGAGAAGAACAGGUGUCAGAGUAACUGUUGACAUCUUGACGGUAUCCAACCAGAAAGCCACGGCUAACUACGUGCCAGCAGCCGCGGUAAUACGUAGGUGGCAAGCGUUGUCCGGAUUUAUUGGGCGUAAAGCGAGCGCAGGCGGUUUUUUAGGUCUGAUGUGAAAGCCUUCGGCUUAACCGGAGAAGUGCAUCGGAAACCGGGAGACUUGAGUGCAGAAGAGGACAGUGGAACUCCAUGUGUAGCGGUGAAAUGCGUAGAUAUAUGGAAGAACACCAGUGGCGAAGGCGGCUGUCUGGUCUGUAACUGACGCUGAGGCUCGAAAGCAUGGGUAGCGAACAGGAUUAGAUACCCUGGUAG
This 780-nucleotide ribosomal RNA is filed under the name uncultured bacterium. Its description in RNAcentral is "bacterial SSU rRNA". It matches the Rfam family "Bacterial small subunit ribosomal RNA", at positions 56 to 793 of the family's 1533-position model. The record is from RNAcentral.